Molecule: transfer RNA, 75 nt
Filed under: Gammaproteobacteria bacterium
Lineage: Bacteria; Pseudomonadati; Pseudomonadota; Gammaproteobacteria
Description: tRNA-Val
Rfam family: tRNA
About the family: Transfer RNA (tRNA) molecules are approximately 80 nucleotides in length. Their secondary structure includes four short double-helical elements and three loops (D, anti-codon, and T loops).
Source: RNAcentral
AGGCGCGUAGCUCAGUGGUAGAGCACUACCUUGACAUGGUAGUGGUCGGUGGUUCAAUCCCGCCCGCGCCUACCA